Molecule: long non-coding RNA, 357 nt
Filed under: Androctonus crassicauda
Lineage: Eukaryota; Metazoa; Arthropoda; Arachnida; Scorpiones; Buthidae
Source: RNAcentral
GCAAGAUCUGGAAAAUGAAAUUAACCAUAUUUAUCAAAUUGGGAGGAAGCAUGGCUAUAAAUAUGGAUUUAUGAAACAGAUACAAAGAAAAGUCAAAUUAAGCCUACUUAGCCCGCCCCAUGAAAGAGAUAAUGAAUCAAGGCAAGAGAGAGAUGAGAAAUACAAGGUAUUACCUCAAAGACUGGCUAACCAAGGGACUACUAGAACCAUCUUGAAUAAAACAAAGAAAAAAGUGACAGUACGUAGAGCCCCCACGGUAUUCAAUAGUGUAAGGAAUGACAAAGAAAAGAGGAGUCAAAUGCAGAGGUCAGGAGUUUAUAGGAUUCCUGUUAAGCUAGAAGAAAACAACCAACCCUC